AGAGUUUGAUCCUGGCUCAGGACGAUCGCUGGCGGCGUGCCUAACACAUGCAAGUCGAGCGGAGACAGUGAGUAGCUUGCUACGAACCGUUUUAGCGGCGGACGGGUGAGUAACGCGUGAGCAACCUCUCCCAGACAGGGGAAUAACACACCGAAAGGUGUACUAAUACCGCAUAAGACCACGGUUUCACAUGGAACUGAGGUAAAAGAUUUAUCGGUUUGGGGUGGGCUCGCGUCCGAUUAGGUAGUUGGUGAGGUAACGGCCCACCAAGCCGACGAUCGGUAGCCGACCUGAGAGGGUGAUCGGCCACAUUGGGACUGAGACACGGCCCAAACUCCUACGGGAGGCAGCAGUGGGGAAUAUUGGGCAAUGGGGGGAACCCUGACCCAGCAACGCCGCGUGGAGGAAGAAGGUUUUCGGAUCGUAAACUCCUGUCCUUGGAGACGAGUAGAAGACGGUAUCCAAGGAGGAAGCCCCGGCUAACUACGUGCCAGCAGCCGCGGUAAUACGUAGGGGGCAAGCGUUGUCCGGAAUAAUUGGGCGUAAAGGGCGCGUAGGCGGCUCGGUAAGUCUGGAGUGAAAGUCCUGCUUUUAAGGUGGGAAUUGCUUUGGAUACUGUCGGGCUUGAGUGCAGGAGAGGUUAGUGGAAUUCCCAGUGUAGCGGUGAAAUGCGUAGAGAUUGGGAGGAACACCAGUGGCGAAGGCGACUAACUGGACUGUAACUGACGCUGAGGCGCGAAAGUGUGGGGAGCAAACAGGAUUAGAUACCCUGGUAGUCCAUGCCGUAAACGAUGAUUACUAGGUGUUGGGGGAUUGACCCCCUCAGUGCCGCAGUUAACACAAUAAGUAAUCCACCUGGGGAGUACGACCGCAAGGUUGAAACUCAAAGGAAUUGACGGGGGCCCGCACAAGCAGUGGAGUAUGUGGUUUAAUUCGAAGCAACGCGAAGAACCUUACCAGGUCUUGACAUCCGAUGCAUAGCACAGAGAUGUGUGAAAUCCUUCGGGACAUCGAGACAGGUGGUGCAUGGUUGUCGUCAGCUCGUGUCGUGAGAUGUUGGGUUAAGUCCCGCAACGAGCGCAACCCUUAUUGCCAGUUACUACGUUAAGAGGACUCUGGCGAGACUGCCGUUGACAAAACGGAGGAAGGUGGGGAUGACGUCAAAUCAUCAUGCCCUUUAUGACCUGGGCUACACACGUACUACAAUGGCGUUAAACAAAGAGAAGCAAGACCGCGAGGUGGAGCAAAACUCAAAAACAACGUCUCAGUUCAGAUUGCAGGCUGCAACUCGCCUGCAUGAAGUCGGAAUUGCUAGUAAUCGCGGAUCAGCAUGCCGCGGUGAAUACGUUCCCGGGCCUUGCACACAACGCCCGUCA
This 1376-nucleotide ribosomal RNA is filed under the name uncultured bacterium. RNAcentral's name for it is "16S ribosomal RNA". It matches the Rfam family "Bacterial small subunit ribosomal RNA". The record is from RNAcentral.